UGUGUACUCCCUCCGUUCCAAAAUACUUGACUUCCAUUUGACCAAAAAUGGACGUGCCUAUAUACUAAAACAUGUCUAGAUACAUAUAUAUUUUGACAAAUAGAAGGCAUGUAUUGUGCAACGGAGGGAGUAGAAU
Molecule: non-coding RNA, 136 nt
Organism: Triticum aestivum (bread wheat)
Lineage: Eukaryota; Viridiplantae; Streptophyta; Magnoliopsida; Poales; Poaceae
Source: Rfam